Long non-coding RNA from Peromyscus eremicus (cactus mouse), 2405 nucleotides. RefSeq lists it as uncharacterized. The record is from RefSeq and is a predicted model, not a curated record. NCBI's taxonomy places the organism in Eukaryota, Metazoa, Chordata, Mammalia, Rodentia, Cricetidae. The transcript has 3 exons.
GGGGGCUCCGCCCUCUCGAACCGCCCCGCCAAACCGGUUCCAGCUGGAACGCAACGCACGGUCUGUACAGCAGGCGGAGCGGCCCGGUGUCCGUGCGGGCCACCCUGGCGGCGACGCCUUGCUGUGGGUAGGGAAACUGAGGCCGAGGAGGGAGCCCACUGUGAGCUUUUCGUCCUGCACGCAGGUCCUAGCUACUCAGCAGCCUAGCAGUUUCUAGUUGCCCCUCCUCCCGUCCCCGGAUGUGCUUCCAAGGAUCCUAAGGAUGAGUUCAGUGUCACACCUGUGUGACCUUAGGAGAGGCGAUCAACCUUUCCGUGCCUGUCAUUCUCUGUAAAAUGUGACAAAAGCACACGAUGCUGUACGAAACCAUUCCUGCUUCUUCCCUGAGUGAGUCCCCUCCCUUCCCGCAGACCUGGCACCCUGCUUACAGAUCUUGCCAGGCACAGACAGAUCUUGCCGGGUGGCUGAGGCAAGCCGGUUGCCUGCUUUCUUCGUCUGGAUCUUAUGGAAGGCUGUGAGGAAUGAAAAGGUGGCAUGUGAGUUUACCUGCUGAGCAAGAGAGGAGCAGAGGACAAGCAGGAGCAGUGUUAUUGAGGCGAGAGCUAAGCCACUGAGGGGCCCACCUGCUUCUGGGAUGCACAGCUUCUCAUGAAUCUUCAGGCUGUUCACCCGUGAGUAAUGGGGGUUGCAGGAAAUUGGUGAGUGAGGGUGUAUCUGCAGUGAAUGCUUCUGUGGAUGCUUUGUGUCCUUCUAAGCCUAUCUCAUUCUUUAAGAACUUCUCAGGGGCAUGAGAAUGUAGAGAAUGGGAUCUUUACCUGAAACUUCAUGGGACUGCAGCAGAGUUCUAGGACAGCCUGGCAGAGCUGUCUGGAUUCCAAAUUCAAGAAUUCCAAAGCCAUAGAAUGGCAGUCCCCACCCCAGCCUGGAGACUUCUAGAGUGGAGGAGCUGGCCGGCUGGGCGACAGCAGGUCUAGAGGGAAGGCACUCGUGGAGCGGUCCAUACUCCACGGUCUAGGAGGCACCGUGCUGCUUUUCACACAGGUUAAAGGUCAUGGGGUGGGGGUGGGGCUGCACUUGUCUUCAGAGGGCUCUGUCCUAGGGCAAACUGCCCAGCAAAAAAGGCUGAGUGGGGAUGAAGGACCACCAGAUGGAGAAGCUGAGGGGGGUAGGAAGCAGCAUGGCUCAUGCCCAGAAAGAAGGUACCAGGAAGCCCCUUCCAGACAGGACAAAAAAAUCAAAGCCACACUGCCCCGUGGCUUCAGCUGUUUGCAGUCCCAGAACCAGUAGAACCAGAAAGAACAGCAGCUCCCCACCAGCGUUCUCCGGGUAUAGCAGGAGCCUGGCGCAGCUGCCUGAGAGUGGGGCAGACUAGUCUGCAGUCCUGAGACCACAGGAGACUGGACUCUUAACAUGAAAACAAGACUCUUGCUUCAGGUCUACAAGUGGCCAGAGUUUAGGGAUCUGCCCUUGGAUACCCACUAGGGGCGGGAAGGGACGUUUGGGGAGGGUAUGGCGGUGAAGUGGGACCACUCUUUCUGCUCUGUUCCCUGGAGAGAACAGUAUGUUGGUUACCUGUGUACAUCUCUGUGACACCACACCCCAGCUGAGCACUUGAAGCAGCCAUCUUUUCUUACUCCGUUCAACCCCAUUGCCCUCAGUUAUCACACAAGGUCAAAGUUGAGGCUGAGACGCAGCUAUGACAACACUGUCUGUCACAUCCCAGCAGAUGGUGUUCCGUUAGGAUCUGUGCAUGCUGACAGUAUGGCAGGUGAGCUUCCUGCACAGUCUUCAGUACCCCAGGACUCUCUAGGGGCUGCCUUAGAGAUGGGGAAAUGGGGCCUAGGAAGAAGGACUAGAAAAGUAAACUCAAGGUUGUCUAACUAACCCAGACUUUGUACUAUGUUUUCCCUUGGUCUGACUUCCUAGUUUUCUCAUCUUUAGAGAAGUCCAACAAUCUGAGGAAGGCCAGGCCAUCCUGACUGUGAAUAUGAGGGAUAAACUCAUCCCACUGGGAAGGCUGGGAGCAGAUUUAACUCUUCAUUACACUCUUCUUGUCUUCCCUGAAGUUUCCUGCCCUCCCUACAGGUUUAUCUACAGCUAAUCUGAAGUGGUAUUUUCCUUUUAGUAAAUCCCGCCUACCAGCAGGAGGCUGUCUAUGCAGAAAGCAGCCAGGGAUCCCAGGGUUCCAGACUUGCCCAUCAUCUGCCCAUUGGACAGUCUGUUUCUGUCACCUGUUUAGGUUUCAGUUUGCCAGUGGGAAGUUCAGCGUCAAGGCCACCUUUUUGUUCUCCACCAUUUUUUCUGUGGUGACCUAUGGGUGCCUCCCCAGCAUCUCCCCAGGCUGCCCACCUGAACAGUUCCCAUGUUCUCCUUGUGAACAAUACAAAAUGGGACAAAAACACCAA